Molecule: long non-coding RNA, 901 nt
Filed under: Homo sapiens (human)
Lineage: Eukaryota; Metazoa; Chordata; Mammalia; Primates; Hominidae
Description: long intergenic non-protein coding RNA 2327
Source: RNAcentral
GUCAUUCUCCUGCCUCAGCUUCCGGAGCAGCUGGGACUGCUGGCGCCCGCCACUACGCUCGGCUAAUUUUUUUGUGUUUUUAGUAGAGACGGGCUUUCACCGUGUUGGCCUAGCGGUUCUCCAACUCCUGACCUCAUGAUCCCCCCGCCUCAGCCUCCCAAAGUGCUGGGAUUACAAGCGUGAGCCACCGCGACCCGCCAACACUCUUGACAACAGUGCUGUGCUAAGAACUUGGGGGACUUCAAAAAGUUCACCAGUUCCUGUGUCCAUGGGUGAAAAGAUUUUCUACAUCUUUCCUUGACUAGAAACAGAAGUCCUGAAACAAGAAUAUAACGUCAGGAGGCCAGAGGCUUUGUCCUGCCUAAUGUGUUAUUUCCACACUGAAUAAAAGCACCUGAGUCCUGGUAAGUCUAAUUUGCUAGGUGUGGCAAUAUGACCAGUGAAAAACAACAAGGGCAGCAUUUCCUGCAGUUCGGUGGCACAGUAUGGUUCAAAGAGGUAUAAAAGGAAGUCACAGGCAUUUUAAAAAGGUUGUACAUCUAGCAAUACCUAACAAAAUAGGAAAUCAACUUGGAAAGCCAAUGGCUGUGUUUUGAGUUUAUGGAGAGCCAUAUGUGGCAAGGAACUGAGGGUGGCAUCCAGGCAACAGACUUCAAGAAACUGAGGCUGUCAGUCCAACAACCCACAAGAACUGAAUCUGACCAACAAUCACAGGAACAAACUUAGAAGUAUACUCUUUCCCAGACAAACCUUCAGAUGAGACCACAGCCCCAGCCAUAAGCUUGAAAACAAUCUCAUGAGGGACCUUGAGCCACAGGCAUGUAGUAAAGCUAUGCCAGGAAUCCUGCCUGCCCCACAGAAAAUGUAAAAAAAAUAAAUUUUUAUUGUUUUAAGCCACGAA